RNAcentral lists this long non-coding RNA (543 nucleotides) under Struthio camelus australis. RNAcentral describes it as "lncRNA (ENSSCUG00000002470.1)". The record is from RNAcentral. Lineage: Eukaryota; Metazoa; Chordata; Aves; Struthioniformes; Struthionidae.
CUGGCAUCACAUUGACACUUAUAUCACAUGAUAUUACUUUUGCAGGGUGAUGCUAUUUAAACAGCAAGAGAACCUGAAGCAUUGACUCAAAAGGCUGAGGAGAAGGAAAUUCCUACAAGAAGGAAAAAUAUGGAGGAAAAAGGAAAUUUGGUUGGCCAGUUUUGUCGUAUAGACCCAGAGUGUUUGCUGCUGCAAACAGACAGCAGCGUCUCCCCUGUGGGAUCUGCUGCCUGGAUGAACAAGGUGCCUUCUCCCAGCAAGCUGAAAGAUCCCAUGGAGCUCAAGAUUGCUCUUCACAGGUUUCUGCAUCCAGCUGCAAGUCAGUCCCUGAGCAGUAACAAAAGAGAUGUUAUGUCCCAAGAGCUAUCCUAAGGUGAAAGGGGAUGAAGGAAAUAAGCCAUUGGUGCAGAGGAACCAAGCACAGGAAGAUGACUAGGACAGAAGGAUGGGCAAGGUUCUUCUUAGAAGGUGCCAACUCUGGAGAGUAUUUGCUGCUGCACUGCAGACGAUCAGAGUGUAAGGCAGUUGCCAAGUGGCCUUACG